Molecule: ribosomal RNA, 797 nt
Filed under: Cryptosporidium ubiquitum
Lineage: Eukaryota; Apicomplexa; Conoidasida; Eucoccidiorida; Cryptosporidiidae
Description: partial small subunit ribosomal RNA
Rfam family: Eukaryotic small subunit ribosomal RNA (bases 1-679)
Source: RNAcentral
AUGGGCGUUAAUAGUUUUGUAUUGGAAUGAGUUGAGUAUAAACCCCUUUACAAGUAUCAAUUGGAGGGCAAGUCUGGUGCCAGCAGCCGCGGUAAUUCCAGCUCCAAUAGCGUAUAUUAAAGUUGUUGCAGUUAAAAAGCUCGUAGUUGGAUUUCUGUUAAUAAUUUAUAUAUAAUAUUUUAUUAAUAUUUAUAUAGUAUUAACAUAAUUCAUAUUACUAUAUUUUAUAGUAUAUGAAAUUUUACUUUGAGAAAAUUAGAGUGCUUAAAGCAGGCAUUAGCCUUGAAUACUCCAGCAUGGAAUAAUAUAAAAGAUUUUUAUCUUUUUUAUUGGUUCUAAGAUAAAAAUAAUGAUUAAUAGGGACAGUUGGGGGCAUUUGUAUUUAACAGUCAGAGGUGAAAUUCUUAGAUUUGUUAAAGACAAACUAGUGCGAAAGCAUUUGCCAAGGAUGUUUUCAUUAAUCAAGAACGAAAGUUAGGGGAUCGAAGACGAUCAGAUACCGUCGUAGUCUUAACCAUAAACUAUGCCAACUAGAGAUUGGAGGUUCCUUCCCCCCCCCUUUUAAAAAGGGGUUGCCGGUUUUUUGCGCGCCUGGGGGCCGCCCGUAAGAUGCGAGGACCCCGUUUUCACACCCCCCCCCUCCCCGGACAUCGACACCCCUAGUUCCCCCGGUUCCCCCUUCUUUUCCCCACUUGUUCCCCCUAUUCCCCCUCCCCUCCUACCUCUUUCCUUGUUUUCCCACCCCUCCCUCCUGCCCUUCCUUCCUCCCUCCCCCACCCCCCCCCCCCCCCCCCCCC